Oncorhynchus keta (chum salmon) is the source of this 452-nucleotide long non-coding RNA. RefSeq lists it as uncharacterized. The transcript is spliced from 3 exons. The record is from RefSeq and is a predicted model, not a curated record. NCBI's taxonomy places the organism in Eukaryota, Metazoa, Chordata, Actinopteri, Salmoniformes, Salmonidae.
CUACUCCAGCUGCAUGGUGAGCACAACAGGUUGGCCGGUAUCGGCUACUCCAGCUGCAUGGUGAGCACAACAGGUUGGCCGGUAUCGGCUACUCCAGCUGCAUGGUGAGCACAACAGGUUGGCCGGUAUCGGCUACUCCAGCUGCAUGGUGAGCACAACAGGUUGGCCGGUAUCGGCUACUCCAGCUGCAUGGUGAGCACAACAGGGGUUGGUCCCAAAUGGCACCUUAUUUCAUGCUGUAUGUACAGAUGCCGUACCUGAAAUUGAACCUGCUUCUCACAGCACGAAAAUAAUCCUGCUGCAACAGGAAAUGUCAAUUAUUAUGUGGAUUAUAAUUAAUGGACAUUUAUGUAGGGAAAAUCAGGUCUGAAAUGUUAAAGUGGAAAUUACAAACGUUAGAAGCCUUUUAAAAAUUUUAAUUCACAAAAAUUUGCAUUUCCUGCAAAAAUGAG